Molecule: RNA transcript, 2706 nt
Organism: Prosopis cineraria
Lineage: Eukaryota; Viridiplantae; Streptophyta; Magnoliopsida; Fabales; Fabaceae
Exons: 6
Source: RefSeq, a predicted model, not a curated record
CUUGCAUUUCAUGGUUUAACCAGGAGAAAACCUCGUUGACUGCAAUCACCAAAAAUAAUCGAAAGAGACAAAUUUAUAAACGAUGUGGUUGGCCGCUGUGACGCUGGUAUUACCUUGCUUUUAAUUUCUUCUCGCGACCACCGUAUCCCUCCCCUGCAACUAAUUGGGACUGAUCUCGCCUGUCUAUCUUCUUCGUUUUAUCGUCGCCUCGAGUUUGAUAGGAUAUUGCAGCCAAUAUUUCAUCGGCUAGGGUUUUUUUAUACUGGAUUUAUCCUUCUUACUGUUUAUUCUGAAUAUUGUUCGAAAUUCAACCCCCUUGUUUUGUAAUGGCGUCGAGUUUGGAUCGAUGGGAAAAAGAUCCUUUCUUUACGGCGGCUGAAGAGGUUCAGGAAUCUGCAGACAGGAUGGAAUCUGCUUAUCGGAAAUGGACUCACGCCAAAAAAGAUGCUUCCGUUGGGUGGGACUCUGAGGAACUCCUCAGAGAUCUGCAAACUUCUCUCGGCACUGCAAAAUGGCAGUUAGAGGAAUUUGAACAGGCAGUUAGUACAAGUAAUGGCAAAAGUUCAAGCAAUGAAGCACAGAAUAGGCACCGUGACUUUAUUGCUGCUAUUCAGGAAAAAGUUAGAAAAGUAGAGCAGUCUUUGCAGGAAUCCAUUGUCUCAGAUGGCAAGGUACCUCUGCCUUGGGCGCAUCUGAAUGAAGGAGAGCGGAACGAGCUUGCCCUAUUUCUUUCAGGAAUGCCACCUGAUGAAAGCAAAACCCCUACAAAAUGUAAAGGUGGGGACAGUGAACGUAAACAAUCAAGUCAUAAAGAAUUGGAUUGUAUUUCAAAAAAUCUACUUUCAUCUGAAUGGAAUGCCUUGGAAACAAAGGAAGAUAGUUCACAUGGGCAUCGCAGGAUAGCUAGUGCUAGUGCUGAUAUUAGUUCUUGGAAGAUUGCAGUUUCUGAUGAUGUCCAACCACAUGGUUCUUCCAAUGGACCUUUUGGUCCUGUGCAUAAGGUUCCCAGUUUUUCAGGAUUUUUUAAUUCCAUGGAAUCUGUUUCUAAGAUUAAGUGGCCAAAGAAUGCAUUUAGAAAACUGAAAGCUACAGAAAAUAAUCAAGGAGCUGAUAGUACAUUGCUGCCAUCGUCAGAAUUGAACAGGGGCAUAAGUGCGUGCUAUGAAAGAAGUAAGAGCUACCUUGAUAGUUGCGAUAAAUGCUAUGACAAGCAACUAUAUGGUUGGUAUGGGGCUAUACAGAGGCAGCUUCAAAGGUCCCAUUACCUAAUGCAAUAUGGUCGACCUUUUCUAAUACUUUUCUGGACGGUUGUUUCCCUUAUCUUGAUUGGCAUUCUAUAAGAAUCAUGAGGAAUAAGUACAUGAAAUGUGGAACUUAGGCCCGCUUGGUAGCAUGGGAAAGGAGAUUUGGAGAGGGGAAAGAAAGGUAGAGCUUUGUUUGAUGUGUUGGUAUGCAAUAAUUAUGGUUCCCUCGAUGAUCCUGUUUGCAAUUUGGCAAAGGGGGUUCCUUCGUAUCUGCUAAGCAAAGGAACUGCUUUCCAGGGAAGGAUAUUACCCACUUCCAGGCUCCAACAUCCGCUCGGACAUGUUGAAGGGCUCCUAAAUUCUCACUUCAUCUGUUUGAUUAACUCUUUGCUGAAAACCUCCCUUGUAGUUUCUCUAGCUGUGGAAAUUGAAGGAGAAGGGAGAGCUUGAAGGAUAUUGAUCUACCAGUGUGGUGACUUAGAAAUCUGAUGUUUAUGCUUUCAGGGAGUUGAAGUUGGAACUCUUAUCAAGAGAGGAGCCACUUUUGACGACCUUGGUUGUGAGGUUGAAGUAUGGUUCCUAAACCUUCAAUGUGCCUGCUUCCUAGCACUUCCAGCUUGAAAAGAAUGGCAGUGCUGCUUUUUGAUUCUCUUUCCAUAAAGUAUUUGUAGUUGUAGAGACUUUCAUUGAUUCCACACUCUUUACACGAAGUAUAGGAAGGAACUUCAAUGCUGAAGGAAGAUUUGAAUUUUGAAGGAUAACUGCUAGUGAAUAAGUGCAGAGCCACUGAGUAUUGAAACCAUUAAUUUCCACCAGACCGGCCCUUAGUACUUCCUUUUGCUUCUUUUAAUGUUUUGCAUUGAAAUAUUUAAUUAUCAAUAAUUCUUAUUUGAUGUUUUACAGUGAAAUAUUUAAUUAUCAAUACUUCUUAUUUGAUGUUCUUUGAACUGCUUUAUUCAUACAACUUGGUCUGUGCUUGCUUGGUAACUGUUUGAAAUAAAGGCCACUAACAUGGAAGAAAGGCAGACAUACUAUCACUAUGUUUGAUUGUGGAAUCUAAACACUCAGCGCAAUUGCCUAUGGGUUUUAGUAGCAUUCCGAGCAGUUUAGAGGGAAGAUUUGGAUACAUUUUCAAUGUGUUUGUAAUUGGCGGCAGCAUGGAGGAUAGCGAACCUGUUGGUACUAGUCAAUAUAAUCUAUGGUGAGAGAGAGGUUCUCUGAUUCUCACGCGAACGGGGUCAAUAUUCAUCAAAAUUCCUUUGAAGUGCUUCGAGAUUAGUGUGCGGAAUUAUCACCCUACUAUUUCCUCCCAAUUUGGUUGGCUUUGCUUGUAUUUUUCCCUGUUUAAUUUCAAAGCUGUCCACGAAUAUAGUUCUUUUGUACUAUCGCAAGAUAGAGAUGACAAUUGGCAUACUGAUGUAAUUGUAAUGCUUCGGAACGAUUCCCACGAAGCUUUUAUUUA